GUGAUGGCGAUUAUUNGGGCCUAAAGCGUCCGUAGCUGGCCCUGCAAGUCCGUCGGGAAAUCCACUCGCCUAACGAGUGGGCGUCCGGCGGAAACUCCAGGUCUUGGGACCGGAAGACUUGAGGGGUACGUCUGGGGUAGGAGUGAAAUCCUGUAAUCCUGGACGGACCGCCGAUAGCGAAAGCACCUCAAGACGACGGAUCCGACAGUGAGGGACGAAAGCUAGGGUCUCGAAC
Molecule: ribosomal RNA, 235 nt
Filed under: uncultured archaeon
Lineage: Archaea
Description: partial 16S ribosomal RNA
Rfam family: Archaeal small subunit ribosomal RNA
Source: RNAcentral